AGUGGCGGACGGGUGAGUAACGCGUGAGAAUCUGCCUUGGGGUCGGGGACAACCACUGGAAACGGUGGCUAAUACCGGAUAAGCCGAUUGGUGAAAGAUUUAUUGCCCGAAGAGGAGCUCGCGUCUGAUUAGCUAGUUGGUGAGGUAAGAGCUCACCAAGGCAGCGAUCAGUAGCUGGUCUGAGAGGACGAUCAGCCACACUGGGACUGAGACACGGCCCAGACUCCUACGGGAGGCAGCAGUGGGGAAUUUUCCGCAAUGGGCGAAAGCCUGACGGAGCAAGACCGCGUGAGGGAUGAAGGCUCUUGGGUUGUAAACCUCUUUUCUCAGGGAAGAAGCUCUGACGGUACCUGAGGAAUCAGCCUCGGCUAACUCCGUGCCAGCAGCCGCGGUAAUACGGAGGAGGCAAGCGUUAUCCGGAAUUAUUGGGCGUAAAGCGUCCGCAGGUGGCGAUUCAAGUCUGCUGUCAAAGCACGGGGCUUAACUCCGUAAAGGCAGUGGAAACUGAAUAGCUAGAGUGCCGUAGGGGUAGAGGGAAUUCCCGGUGUAGCGGUGAAAUGCGUAGAGAUCGGGAAGAACAUCGGUGGCGAAAGCGCUCUACUGGACGGCAACUGACACUCAGGGACGAAAGCUAGGGGAGCGAAUGGGAUUAGAUACCCC
RNAcentral lists this ribosomal RNA (660 nucleotides) under uncultured bacterium. Its description in RNAcentral is "bacterial SSU rRNA". It matches the Rfam family "Bacterial small subunit ribosomal RNA", at positions 94 to 788 of the family's 1533-position model. The record is from RNAcentral.